RNAcentral lists this unclassified non-coding RNA (381 nucleotides) under Hevea brasiliensis (rubber tree). Lineage: Eukaryota; Viridiplantae; Streptophyta; Magnoliopsida; Malpighiales; Euphorbiaceae. The record is from RNAcentral.
AGAAGCAAAGAGAGGAACAAAAGUGGCCAAAAUCAUUGAAAUAUCAAACUUGAUGAGAGCAGUUGGAAGGCCACCAGCUAAGCGCUCUUUCUUCUAAAUUCCUUUCUCUCUUUCAUCAAAUCAAAAUACUAUUAUACUCCAUCAUAAAAUCCCAAUGGGUUUGUAAUUAAUUAAGGAGAUGGACAAAAACCCCAUCCAAAAAGAGUUAGAUUUUUUUUUUCUUUCUUGCAACAAAGGAAAGAUAUAUUAUUAAUACACUAUAUCUCUCCCAAAUAUCAAAUAUCUUAGUUUUAAGUUGGUUUUAGUGUAAGGAACUUGUAAGUAAGAAAUGGGCAUUGAGUUUGUUGAGUGUAUGUUUUAAAACAUUUACUUUUCUUUUUU